UACGGAGGGUGCAAACGUUGCUCGGAAUCAUUGGGCGUAAAGCGCACGUAGGCGGUUCGUUAAGUCGGGUGUGAAAGCCCUGGGCUCAACCCAGGAAGUGCAUCCGAAACUGGCGAGCUGGAGUAUGGAAGAGGGUCGCGGAAUUCCCGGUGUAGAGGUGAAAUUCGUAGAUAUCGGGAGGAACACCAGUGGCGAAGGCGGCGACCUGGGCCAAUACUGACGCUGAGGUGCGAAAGCGUGGGGAGCAAACAGG
RNAcentral lists this ribosomal RNA (253 nucleotides) under uncultured bacterium. RNAcentral's name for it is "partial 16S ribosomal RNA". It matches the Rfam family "Bacterial small subunit ribosomal RNA", at positions 524 to 776 of the family's 1533-position model. The record is from RNAcentral.